This 434-nucleotide ribosomal RNA is filed under the name uncultured Oribacterium sp. Its description in RNAcentral is "partial 16S ribosomal RNA". It matches the Rfam family "Bacterial small subunit ribosomal RNA", at positions 341 to 792 of the family's 1533-position model. Lineage: Bacteria; Bacillati; Bacillota; Clostridia; Lachnospirales; Lachnospiraceae. The record is from RNAcentral.
ACGGAAGGCAGCAGUGGGGAAUAUUGCACAAUGGGGGAAACCCUGAUGCAGCGACGCCGCGUGAGUGAAGAAGUAUUUCGGUAUGUAAAGCUCUAUCAGCAGGGAAGAUAAUGACGGUACCUGACUAAGAAGCCCCGGCUAACUACGUGCCAGCAGCCGCGGUAAUACGGAGGAUGCAAGCGUUAUCCGGAUUUAUUGGGUUUAAAGGGUGCGUAGGCUGUUCUUCAAGUCAGAGGUGAAAUACCCGAGCCUAACUCGGGAACUGCCUUUGAUACUGGAGGGCUUGAAUACUGUUGCCGUGGGAGGAAUGAGUAGUGUAGCGGUGAAAUGCAUAGAUAUUACUCAGAACACCGAUUGCGAAGGCAUCUCACGAAGCAGCGAUUGACGCUGAGGCACGAAAGCGUGGGGAUCAAACAGGAUUAGAUACCCUGGUA